Molecule: ribosomal RNA, 465 nt
Filed under: uncultured Klebsiella sp.
Lineage: Bacteria; Pseudomonadati; Pseudomonadota; Gammaproteobacteria; Enterobacterales; Enterobacteriaceae
Description: bacterial SSU rRNA
Rfam family: Bacterial small subunit ribosomal RNA
Source: RNAcentral
CCUACGGGGGGCAGCAGUGGGGAAUAUUGCACAAUGGGCGCAAGCCCGAUGCAGCCAUGCCGCGUGUGUGAAGAAGGCCUUCGGGUUGUAAAGCACUUUCAGCGGGGAGGAAGGCGGUGAGGUUAAUAACCUCAUCGAUUGACGUUACCCGCAGAAGAAGCACCGGCUAACUCCGUGCCAGCAGCCGCGGUAAUACGGAGGGUGCAAGCGUUAAUCGGAAUUACUGGGCGUAAAGCGCACGCAGGCGGUCUGUCAAGUCGGAUGUGAAAUCCCCGGGCUCAACCUGGGAACUGCAUUCGAAACUGGCAGGCUAGAGUCUUGUAGAGGGGGGUAGAAUUCCAGGUGUAGCGGUGAAAUGCGUAGAGAUCUGGAGGAAUACCGGUGGCGAAGGCGGCCCCCUGGACAAAGACUGACGCUCAGGUGCGAAAGCGUGGGGAGCAAACAGGAUUAGAUACCCGGGUAGUC